GCACCCGCCGAGAACGCGGCCCCGGCGCGCAUCCUUCCGCCGCACCGGCGUCAGGCCCGCAUCUGCUCGCCCGAGCGGGGACAUGCGGGCGGCAAACAGCGAUGGGGACGCGCAGGGAACGAGGGAGGGCUUGGGACCGCUGCUGCCGGGCCCCGCCGUCCGUCACCCCCGGCGCCGGGGGAGCCCCGUGUGCCCGCAGCCCCGGGGCAGGGACGGCCGCGCGUUCCCGCUGGGAUGUGGCGGUGGCGCGGCCUGGCAGCUGUGCCCUGCUCCAGGAACAGUACAGAAGUACAGGGGAAGGAGUUGCUGCAGUUUCACCCUUUAAUGCCAAAUAUUUACGUGGAGGUUAUGCAGCUAUGGAACUGUUGGCUGGAAGCGACCUCUGGAGGUCUCCAGCCCAAAGGCCCCAUCGGAGCGGGACCCAUGGACACCAGGUCACAUCAGUCCCAGCCACGUCUGAAAACCUGCAGGGCUGAAAGCUCCUCUGCCUCCCCAGAGAUGACCAAUGGCCGUGCUGUUCACUACCUUGGCAAGAAGAUUCUCCUGGGUUCAGUCUGCCCCUCCCGCUGACCCUUUAGCCAUCACCCCCAGCUGUGCUGGCUCUGUCGCGUUAAUAACUGCGCUUGAGUAGCUGUAAACUGCCGUUAGAUUUGCCUCAGCCGCCUUCUCGCCAAAGCAAACAAGUUACUCCUUGCUCACCGGCUGCUGGACCCUCUUCUCAAUGGCUCUUUUGAACAGGGGUAGGAAUUUGUUUAUAACAGGGUAUGGCUGCUGGAUUUAUAAUCCACCAGGAGGAACCCAUUAGACCUCACUUUCUAGGAACACUGCUUUUUAUUAUCUUACUAUAUCAUUUAUUUUCUCAUCCUGAUCCUGCAAAAGUUUUACAUCCAUUACUGUGGUGCUCUUGUUGCUUGUGUGGCAGCAGCUCGAAGGACCCCAGCCCUGCUGGAGGAGGACAGGACCCAGUGACAACCUGACAUUGCCCCAGAGGCUUCUUAACUCCUGGGAACUUCAUCCUCAGCUGCUGAAGGUGGCUGCUGGGUCACUUUGGUCAGUGGGAUUGGAAGAGAGCCAUCACCUGCCUCCUGGACGGUCUGCCAGCCCUGCUGUGUGGUGAGUUUCAGCUCCGGAGACUUUUUUGCCCAAACAGGAUGAUUUUUGUGUUCUGUUUUACUACGCCACAGUGUGCAGGGCUGUUUUGGUAGUCACCUGCUGCCCUAGUUGUUAAAUACAUGGGAUCUGUCAGUAGUGCCUCUCUCAGCUGUGAGUGGGACCACGGAUGGAGUGGGGGAAGCAGGAUGGGCUGGGCAGCUGCUCAGUGUCUCCCCAGACACAUACAAAAGGACAUCUGUGCUGUGCAGUGGCAAUGGGAGAGGGAAACAGGAGUAUUGUCUCCCUUAGCAAACCUGGCCCUGGAAAAGAUAAUGUAUAUAGCCAUCUCUGGAUGUGGUGCACAUGUGGAUCUGAUCAUGACAGAGACUUGUGAGCAGGAGCUGUCAGUGCUUAAAGCUCAUUGUCUGUCUUGUAACUUCUGCAUUUACACCAACAUGCAGGGUAUUAACAGGUUAUCCAAAGCUUGCCUGGGGUUUGCAGGCCUGACUUUGAAGUACAAAAAUCAGCUAGACUGUGACGUUUUAAGUGACCUGGCUGACAAUAUGGGCGUCACUAUAGCCUUCUGUAAGGCUGGUUUCCAAACGUGCCUUUACAAGAACACUGGGGUUCCCUGGCUGUAGUUUUAAGAGAGUUUCAAGUUGAGGGGAAUAAAGCUUCAAGCAAUUCCACUGCAGAGUUUGUAAAUGAGCACAAAAAUGCAUUGAAUGGGAGCUGUACAGACUUCUGAUGGGUUUGACAGCACAGCUCAAAAGUUCCUUAAAUAAAAAGUCUGUGAUUUCUGGCAGCUUGCAAGUGCUGAACUUCUUUGGAUUUCAAAGCAAAUAGAUACAUCUUAACAAAGACCACCCCUUGUCAGCUAUCCUAAAAAUUAUAGCAGAGAGAUUGAAAUAAAAUGUGUGUAUUUGUCUCUCCUGGGACAUGACGGAAGGGGAAAGCAUUAUCAGAAUUCUUUAAACUCCUCUUAACAGUAUUGAACCAAUUAUUUUGUUAAAUCUGGGUUUGUUUUCUGCCUCUCAAUGAGAACAUUUGAAGUCUAUCUUCUCCACCAUUUACGAGUUACCAGUCUGCAAGUGUAAAAUUUCCAACUGGAACAUAUGGUAUCAGAGGGAACAAGGGGGAAAUAUCUGAUUGCUCAUGCUCCCCAAACUCCAAAUCUACUCCAUUUAGUAUUUUGCUCACAGUUCCUGUAGGGGAAAAUAAAAGAAAUCAUCUCUGAUCUGAGACCAAGCACUGAACAUUUCACCCUGAAUAGGAAUCUGUUUGAAAAACUUAUAAGCAGCUGAAAAGGGAAUAGAAUAGAAACUACAUUUCUGUUUCUUCACAAUGGGCAGAACUGAGCGAUGCUGAUAAAACCUCUCUGAACCUUCUUCUCCGAGUUUUGACCCCUGUUUUGGGGCCUUGCCUCCAGCCAGCACAUGGGGACAGAGCCAGUAGCAGGGCAGAAACCACUUGUUCUCUUUCCUUUGGGUGUCAGUGAGGCUGGGCAGUCCAAGGCUGCCAGCAGAGCUGGGCGUGCAGGCAGUGGGGCUGCUGUGGCCUCUGCACAGGCUGGGAGAUGUGCUCUGCCUCUGAGCCCCGUGGCAUGGGAGGCUGUGCAGGACACCUUGCUGGCCAUGCUGCCUGGGUUAACCCCGCUUGGAGUUUGGAACUGGCCUGAGACUCACCUGCAAUGACAUUUGACCUUUGAAAUCACCAGGCAGCACCAGCUAUUGGGCACUGGGUAGCCACAGUGCUCCUGUAAUUUGUCAGUUCCUUGCUGGCCUCUUGGUGCUCCCCUGGGCUGAGCCAUUCUAAAGGGGCAUCCCUUUAGCUGUCAGUGAUCCUGCAACCUUCCCUCUGUGCAGGGCAGCAAGGAUCCCCUUCCUUUGCUUUCCUGCAGAGCAGAGGCUGAGCCCUGAGUAACCAGGCUGUAAGGUGUUAGAAACAGGCUUCUCACUCUUCAUCCUGGCAGAAUAAGGAGGUCCUAAGCCUGUAGCCCAGGGAACUGAUGUGACCAAAUCACAGAAGAGGAACCUUUCACUUGGCAGCAUGAUGGUCGUGUAGUGCCACAUGUACAACCAAAUCUAUCCUCCCUGCCAUUCAGACAGAAAGCAGCUUGUUUUGGAGCAACUUCCCUGGGAGGGGGAGGAACAGAUGUUUGAACCAGAAGCGUGUGUGACAGUUGGGAGAGACAGCGUGGAAACGCACAGUUGAAAGGAGAAGUCUGAUGGGAGUGUGAUGACAGCAGCAGGACUUCAGUGACAAGGAGUGGGAAGGAGAACAAGCAGGGAGGAGUGUUACUUCAAAAGCUGAGCAAAGUGCACAAGAAGAUAUGUCAGGAAAGCGUCAGAGAAAGGAAGAGAGGAAAUGUGAGAGUAGAGACAGGCUUUGGGAUCUGUCUGCAAGCAUGUGUGACCUGUUGCCUGACAAACAGAGAAAGGAAGGCCUUUUAUUCCUCUGCCUCCUUCCACCAAGUUAACUCUUCUUGCAGGCGAGCUGGCUGCCAGCUCUGCUGGAGCUCUUCACUGAGUGCUCCUGGAAGGUAAAGCUGCCUCUGCUGCUCCAAAGCACGGUGACUGGGGGUACUGUGUGAAGGUCCUCUGUCAGGGAUGCCCAAGCCCUUCCUCUGCCUUUAUAGGGUGGCACAGUAGCCACAAGCCUUGGGACUUCUGGCCACUGCAAGAGUCUGAGGAGAAGAGGUGACAAUCUCGUAGCAGGCUUCACCUGUAAUUGUGCUGCGAUCACAGGGGCAGGAUGUGUGAGCAGGGAGAGGGAAGUGUGCUUGAGUAUUUCUCCUGCAGCAGGGAGGGACCUCUCCAGCAGUGCCUUACCCUGGUGACAUCAAUCACAGCUCUGCAGUGUCUGCUUUUACCCUAGUUCAGCAGAUGUGCGAGGCAGACCGGGAAUACGCUGCUGGAGUGUGAAGCCUUGGAGCUGGGGGAGGGGGCACAGUCACUUCUCCUCCUGAGGGGUUUGCUGAGGCAGUUUUGCACAGCCCUGCCUUCACCCAGGGUGCCUUGAGAAACACAAACUGGUCCGUUCUGCUUUGUGACCUCUUGUAGGGAGGGGAGAAUUUCCUUAAGUAUAGGGUGAGCCUUGGGAUAGAAUAAUGAAGGGAUUGCAAGGUAGAUGCCAGCCACAGCCAGCUGGGCCAGGAGCUGCAGUCUGACGAUGGAUGUUGCACGACUGGCGACUUUCAGCCUUCAUACAAACAUUGGCAUUCAUUUCUUGGUAUGAAAUCCCAGCAAAUUAGAGGCAGACAAUAUCCCUUAAGCAACGGGGAAGGCUGAACCAGGGUGAUGGAGACAGGUCAGGGUGUGCUGUGUCCAGCAGCUCUGGGGGAGAGGAGUCUCACAGCAGGGACCUGUCAGUAGUAUGGGCUGUGCAGGGUUGAGGCUCAGCCAGCAAUGCCUUCUUUCAUUUAUUUAUUUUAAGGAUGAAAUGGAUGGAGAGGAACGUGAGGGAAAAACAGUGUCAGGACACUGCACUAGUGCCAGGGUGUUGAGCACUGUUGUAGAAACAGCUUGAUGAAGGGGUGGAAGCCUGAAGGAUCUGCCCCUCCUCACCAGGAGAAGCAAUGCAGGCUCGUGGUAAGGAAGUUAGUUUUGGGCUCCAUGGAAUCAAUGCACAGGUGAUGUUGGGAGUGUAAAGAUGAUGAAAGCCUCUCUGGUGCCUGCUGUACUGGUUGACUGGGCUGCAGGACCCUUCUUGGGGCUGGUCUGAGGAGAGCAGCCGUGGGCAGCUCUCUGUGUGGCUGUACUGGCUGCUCUUACUCCAAAGCUGGGGUGUGGGUCUGGUGCUGAGGGGCAGAGGGGACCUGCAGGCUGCCAGGGUGGCCUCAGACAGAAGGAGCACAGAGGAGCAGGGACCUUGGUGUUUUCACCCAGAAGUGAUGUACUUUGUAGCAGGAUAGGGUUGAGUAUAGAUGCUUGGCUUUAUGGAGCAGAAUUACACCUUUCUUCUAAUUAACUUGCACAGGAUCUUUUGCAAGUUAAUUGUAAGAGUCAGGGUCAGACCCAAGUUGCAUUUUCUAAAGGUACUGGUGAAGGUACUGAAAUUAAAUUCUCGUGAGUGGAAGGGUGGAAGGGUGACCUGUUCUCCCUGCAGUUGAAGCUCAGAGCAACAGAGCAGUCUUUAGUCUCUGGAGGAGGUUUAAAAAUCUUCCAGGUCUGUGUUCCUUGUAAAAAAAAAUUUAGUCAGCACUUGACACAUCUGACAGUUGUCAGCCCUUGUUCAAUGUGAUCAGGGCACUGUGUACUGAAUAAAUCAGGGAACUCCAUUCUGCCUCGUGGCUGGGAAAUGCUCCAUCACCAAACCCUGGAGAGAUGCCGGGGUGCCUUUGGAAAGCAGCUCACUGGACAGCACAGGUGUUCUGCCUUUGCCCUCCCAGCCUAGGCUUGCAGAGAAGGUUUCCUUAGGACCAGCAGCCUGACUUGCUCAGGCUGGUGCUGCAGCCACACUCCUGGGGGAGCAGAGCCGUACAUCACCCAGCAUUUUAUGUGUGCCUGGGAAAGGGAGCCUGAAUCCCCUUCCUGCACGGAGAGCUGCCAGGCUGGAUGCCAACACACAACCCUCAGCAUUUUUUUAUUUACUAUAAACCUCUUAAAUGAAGGCUGGGGGAUGUUUUUCAUUUACCAUGUUACUGUAUGGAACCAAU
Molecule: long non-coding RNA, 5749 nt
Organism: Motacilla alba alba
Lineage: Eukaryota; Metazoa; Chordata; Aves; Passeriformes; Motacillidae
Exons: 3
Source: RefSeq, a predicted model, not a curated record